GUGUCAGCCGCCGCGGUAAUACGUAGGGGGCAAGCGUUGUCCGGAAUCAUUGGGCGUAAAGCGCGUGUAGGCGGCUUGGUAAGUCCGGUGUGAAAACUUGGGGCUCAACCCCAAGCGUGCACCGGAUACUGCCUCGCUCGAGUCCGGGAGAGGGAAGCGGAACUCCUAGUGUAGCGGUGAAAUGCGCAGAUAUUAGGAAGAACACCGGUGGCGAAGGCGGCUUCCUGGAACGGUACUGACGCUGAGACGCGAAAGCGUGGGGAGCAAACAGGAUUAGAAACCCCCGUAGUCC
RNAcentral lists this ribosomal RNA (292 nucleotides) under uncultured bacterium. RNAcentral describes it as "partial 16S ribosomal RNA". It matches the Rfam family "Bacterial small subunit ribosomal RNA", at positions 505 to 796 of the family's 1533-position model. The record is from RNAcentral.